CCUACGGGGUGCAGCAGUGAGGAAUAUUGGUCAAGGGCCGUAAGGCUGAACCAGCCAAGUAGCGUGAGGGAAGACUGCCCUAUGGGUUGUAAACCUCUUUUAUGAGGGGAUAAAGGAGGCCACGUGUGGAUGUUUGCAGGUACCGCAUGAAUAAGGACCGGCUAAGUCCGUGCCAGCAGCCGAGGUAAUACGGAAGGUCAGGGCGUUAUCCGGAUUUAUUGGGUUUAACGGGAGCGUAGGCCGGUCUUUAAGCGUGCCGUGAAAUUUUGUGGCGCAACCCUGGGAGUGCGGCGCAAACUGGAGACCUUGAGUGCGCGGACGGCAGGCUGAAUUCGUGGUGUAGCGGU
Molecule: ribosomal RNA, 347 nt
Filed under: uncultured bacterium
Lineage: Bacteria
Description: partial 16S ribosomal RNA
Rfam family: Bacterial small subunit ribosomal RNA
Source: RNAcentral